Molecule: ribosomal RNA, 497 nt
Filed under: uncultured Actinomycetes bacterium
Lineage: Bacteria; Bacillati; Actinomycetota; Actinomycetes
Description: bacterial SSU rRNA
Rfam family: Bacterial small subunit ribosomal RNA
Source: RNAcentral
AGAGUUUGAUCAUGGCUCAGGACGAACGCUGGCGGCGCGCCUAAAACAUGCAAGUCGAACGAGAAGCCCGGGCUUGCCCGGGUGGACAGUGGCGAACGGGUGAGUAACACGUGAGGAACCUGCCCCGAAGACCGGGACAACACCGGGAAACCGGUGCUAAUACCGGAUACCUUCACCGGAUCGCAUGGUCUGGUGAAGAAAUGGAUUCCGCUUCGGGAUGGCCUCGCGGCCUAUCAGCUAGUUGGUGAGGUAACGGCUCACCAAGGCGACGACGGGUAGCUGGUCUGAGAGGAUGUCCAGCCACACUGGGACUGAGACACGGCCCAGACUCCUACGGGAGGCAGCAGUUAGGAAUCUUGCGCAAUGGACGAAAGUCUGACGCAGCGACGCCGCGUGCGGGAUGAAGGCCUUCGGGUUGUAAACCGCUUUCAGCAGGGACGAAAUUGACGGUACCUGCAGAAGAAGCCCCGGCCAACUACGUGCCAGCAGCCGCGGUA